UGCCAGCCGCCGCGGUAAUACGGAGGGGGCUAGCGUUGCUCGGAAUUACUGGGCGUAAAGCGCGCGUAGGCGGCGAAUCUAGUCAGGCGUGAAAGCCCAGGGCUUAACCCUGGAACUGCGCUUGAUACUGGUUUGCUAGAAUUCGAGAGAGGGUAGCGGAAUUUCCAGUGUAGAGGUGAAAUUCGUAGAUAUUGGAAAGAACACCGGUGGCGAAGGCAUCUCUCUGGGUCGAUAUUGACGCUGAGGCGCGAAAGCGUGGGGAGCGAACAGGAUUAGAUA
This 279-nucleotide ribosomal RNA is filed under the name uncultured bacterium. RNAcentral's name for it is "partial 16S ribosomal RNA". It matches the Rfam family "Bacterial small subunit ribosomal RNA", at positions 506 to 784 of the family's 1533-position model. The record is from RNAcentral.